GGAGCUCUCCAAAACACCUCUGCUGUGUGCAUGCCACUUUGAGAAGGUGAAGCUGCAGCCCCAGAGGUUCUGGAGGGAUUUUUCUGGGUGAGUUUAAGCCCCAAACUGAUCCCAAGAAUUGAGACCUUGGUGUUUGCUCGAAGCCUGGCUGGGGGCUGAAGGAGAUGUUGCCAGUCCCUGGCACAGAUGAUGGUGAUGGCUGAUGGGCUGAUGGUUGAAUUGGUGUCGAGGUCGGCUCUGCUCCAGCACCAGCGCCUGCCCUAAGGUGGAGCUGCUUCUCUUUCAGCGUCGUGGCUGCCCAGAGAACGCUGGAUCCAGUCUGGUCACCCAAACACUGCCUGCCUGCAGCUUCUGAGCAGGGCUCAGACAAAAGAAAGCCCAUCCAAACUGUGGGUUGAUGUUUGUUUUCCACGCUCCACCAUUGAAAUUCCAUGCCAAAGAUUUACAAGUCCCUGGAGGGGAGCAGGGACUUCAGCCGAGAGCCCGGUGUUUUGCCAUCUCUGCUGUGCGCUGGAGUGAGCCGGGGCAGCUGCCGGAGGACGCUGGAGGCAUUGUGCUGCUGGACAGGUUUGAAGGCUGGUGUUAAUGAACUGUUGUUAAUGGGCUGGUGUUAAUGGGCACCCUGAUGGUGAGAAGUCAGCACUGGAGCCGCCGUGCAGGGGCUGGAGCUGGGGGUUCUUCCACGUGGCUGUCACGGAGAGUGAAGAGUCAAGCUGCAGUAACUCCCCGCUGCAGACGAGAUCCUGAACCGCAUCGCUUUAAUUACGCCAGCGCAAAUUUCAUUCAUUUGGUUAAGCCUGGGAGCUACAGAAAGAGCUAUUUCCAGGUGUGCUGGUUUAAUUAUUGCUUGCCCUGGAUUACCCACCGUGCGCAGCUGCAUGGACGGGCUUUGCCCGGCUCUCCGGCAGACCCGGACAAGUUCGCAGCCAUCGGCACGGCAAUGGCCCCACUCACUCACAUCCCAGCACACGGGCUCUGCUUGGGUCAGAUAAAUGGGUUUUAACCUGAUUUGUGCUGUAAUCUCCAUGUCGACAGGCUCUCAUCACGCACAGGAUAAAACCCCGGCUCCUGUGGCCGGGGCUUUCACCGGGCAGCUCCUGCCAGCAAGGCUGGCCGAUGGCUCCGAGCCAAGUGGCUUCCCUGUUCUGGCAUCCCAGGGACACCUCUGAACCGUGGGUGUUUGCAAAACGGCUUUUGUUUGCUUAACUCCUUGCACUGGCGCAGGCAGAGGCACAGCUCCCACUGUCCUGUCCCUCCUCCGCAGGCAGGAGCAGGGUGACAAUCCUGCUGCCCAGGGCAGGCAGCUCAGUGCCAGCCCUGCCAUCCCACCCCUGGAAAAAAUAGCACCUUUUGGGUGCAUUAUUUGUACUUUCCUUUUCUGAACGUGCCUUAAAAAGAAGGGCUUGGUUUUCA
Long non-coding RNA from Melospiza melodia melodia, 1413 nucleotides. RefSeq lists it as uncharacterized. Lineage: Eukaryota; Metazoa; Chordata; Aves; Passeriformes; Passerellidae. The transcript is spliced from 3 exons. The record is from RefSeq and is a predicted model, not a curated record.